AUAUUUUUUGAUUCAUAGUGUAAUGAUUGGGUUUUCAUAUUCAUGUGUGAGAUUUGCCCCCCCAAACCUUGUUAUGAUGUCAGUACAUUGCUCAUAUGACA
This is a small nucleolar RNA of Callithrix jacchus (white-tufted-ear marmoset), 101 nucleotides long. Lineage: Eukaryota; Metazoa; Chordata; Mammalia; Primates; Cebidae. The record is from Ensembl.